This 90-nucleotide transfer RNA is filed under the name Puccinia triticina. RNAcentral describes it as "tRNA-Lys". It matches the Rfam family "tRNA". From Rfam's summary of the family: Transfer RNA (tRNA) molecules are approximately 80 nucleotides in length. Their secondary structure includes four short double-helical elements and three loops (D, anti-codon, and T loops). The record is from RNAcentral. Lineage: Eukaryota; Fungi; Basidiomycota; Pucciniomycetes; Pucciniales; Pucciniaceae. RNAcentral also lists the same sequence under 1 other name.
GACUUGGUAGCCUAGUUGGUAAAGGCAGCACACCUAGUAUAGUUUCUUAGCUUCAAGCUAAGGUUGCUGGUUCAAAUCCUGCCCAAGUCA